RNAcentral lists this transfer RNA (618 nucleotides) under Streptomyces scabiei. Its description in RNAcentral is "tRNA-Pro". Lineage: Bacteria; Bacillati; Actinomycetota; Actinomycetes; Kitasatosporales; Streptomycetaceae. The record is from RNAcentral.
GUGGCCACCGCGCUGCGGAUCCUCGACGAGGACGGGCCUGACGCGCUCACCUUCCAGCGGCUGGGCAAGGAGCUGUCGUCCUCCGCGACCGCGGUCUACCGGUACUUCGCCAGUCGUGACCACAUCAUGGUCGGUGUCGCGGACGAGUUGGACCGGAUCUCCCUGGAGGGGUACGAGCCGCACGAGUCGUGGACCGAGUCGCUGCGCGACCUGGCGACCCGGGCCUGGGACACCGCGCUGGACCACCCGGCGGCCGCCGCGCUCUGCAUGGGCAGAGUCACCCGGGGCGUCCACGAACUGCGUGCCGUCGACGCCGUUCUGGAGGCGUUCCACCGCGGUGGCUGGCGCGGCCGGGCGGCCGUCCUGCACUACCAGGCGUUCUCGAACUUCCUGCUCUCCGUCGCCAGCAACAACGCCUGGCGGCUCGUCAACCAGAGGUUCGGCACCGAGGUGAACUGGGUGCAGGAGUACCAGCCGGCGGAUCCGGACGCGUACCCCUACGCCGAGGCGGCGAAGGACCAUCUGCGCAGCAUCGACAUGACCGACGUCUUCCACCGGCAGACGGACCUCGUCCUCACCGCCCUGGUGGCGGAGUCGGCGACCCUCCCACGCGACUGA